UUCUAGGACAGAUUAAGAAACAAUGGGGAGGGUGCAACAUGGGUGGUUUAAAUGGUCCUUGCACUCACUUCAUUGGCCUACAGUAAGGAGGUGAUACAGUAGAAGCUGUUGGGCUCCUGGAAAUAAAGAUUCUGAGAAGACUCUGCCAACCUACUGGAUGAAGAACUUCAACAUGGAAGACAUGACCAUCGGAGUAACCUUGUUUCUCUGUCUGACUGACCAGCUUCUGCAUCCUAGAUCACUCAGAGCAGAGAUGGUGGGAUGGAUCUGCCAUCAGACCUUGCUGCCGGUGGGACGCAGUCCCCAACUCACCUUCCCUUUCACCCUCACCGGUUAAGUCCUUGGUGAGAAGAAUGCACAGAUUCACCAACAGUGACCAGGGGAAAGGAGGGGAGAAGCUCCUACAGCCUGAGGCCCCGGGAGAAGAUGCAGCUGAGACGUACAUGAGGUGCUUCAAGGACAUUCAGAAAGAGAAACGGCAGUU
Long non-coding RNA from Chinchilla lanigera (long-tailed chinchilla), 484 nucleotides. RefSeq lists it as uncharacterized. The record is from RefSeq and is a predicted model, not a curated record. The transcript has 3 exons. NCBI's taxonomy places the organism in Eukaryota, Metazoa, Chordata, Mammalia, Rodentia, Chinchillidae.